UACGUAGGGUGCAAGCGUUAAUCGGAAUUACUGGGCGUAAAGGGCGCGCAGGCGGCUCAUUUUGUCAGGCGUGAAAGCCCCGGGCUUAACCUGGGAACUGCGUUUGAUACGGGUGGGCUAGAGUUCGGGAGAGGAGCGUGGAAUUCCCAGUGUAGAGGUGAAAUUCGUAGAUAUUGGGAAGAACACCGGUGGCGAAGGCGGCGCUCUGGACCGAGACUGACGCUGAGGCGCGAAAGCGUGGGGAGCAAACAGG
This 253-nucleotide ribosomal RNA is filed under the name uncultured bacterium. Its description in RNAcentral is "partial 16S ribosomal RNA". It matches the Rfam family "Bacterial small subunit ribosomal RNA", at positions 524 to 776 of the family's 1533-position model. The record is from RNAcentral.